GACGAACGCUGGCGGCGUGCUUAACACAUGCAAGUCGAGCGGAAAGGCCCUGCUUUUGUGGGGUGCUCGAGUGGCGAACGGGUGAGUAACACGUGAGUAACCUGCCCUUGACUUUGGGAUAACUUCAGGAAACUGGGGCUAAUACCGGAUAGGAGCUCCUGCUGCAUGGUGGGGGUUGGAAAGUUUCGGCGGUUGGGGAUGGACUCGCGGCUUAUCAGCUUGUUGGUGGGGUGGUGGCUUACCAAGGCUUUGACGGGUAGCCGGCCUGAGAGGGUGACCGGCCACAUUGGGACUGAGAUACGGCCCAGACUCCUACGGGAGGCAGCAGUGGGGAAUAUUGCACAAUGGGCGGAAGCCUGAUGCAGCAACGCCGCGUGCGGGAUGACGGCCUUCGGGUUGUAAACCGCUUUCGCCUGUGACGAAGCGUGAGUGACGGUAAUGGGUAAAGAAGCACCGGCUAACUACGUG
This 468-nucleotide ribosomal RNA is filed under the name uncultured bacterium. RNAcentral's name for it is "partial 16S ribosomal RNA". It matches the Rfam family "Bacterial small subunit ribosomal RNA", at positions 28 to 507 of the family's 1533-position model. The record is from RNAcentral.